Molecule: long non-coding RNA, 356 nt
Organism: Apus apus (common swift)
Lineage: Eukaryota; Metazoa; Chordata; Aves; Apodiformes; Apodidae
Exons: 3
Source: RefSeq, a predicted model, not a curated record
CAAAAAAUCCCGUAUGUAUCCAUGCACUAAAUUGGAACGGAUGAUAUUUCAAGAUCAGUGCUCUGCAUGAAUUCCAGAAGCAACUUGCGUCAGGGGGAUUGGAGACGUACAGCAUCUGACUGAACGAUAAGUACAUAAAUAUUGAAACAAAUAUACUGAAAGAAUUCAGGCUUGCUUGCUGAGAGAAAGAAUUUUACAGAAUGGGAAGCUGCUUCAUCUUUCUGAAAAUAAAGGAAGAAAAUGCAACUUUGUUUCAGACACCUAUACUGGAGAUAACCAAUAAAGCACCAAUAUAAUGGGACAUUUGUAUUUAAUUGUAUAGGUAUGGGAAAGUAACAUGCUUAGUUAUAAUUAAA